CCCUUAGAUGUUCUGGGCUGCACGCGUGCUACACUGAUUAUUUCAACAAGUGUUUUAACUGGAGAGUUUGCGUAAUCCUGAAAUGCUAUCGUGAUGGGAGUAGAGUAUUGUAUUUGUUAAUCUUUAACGAGGAAUUCCUAGUAAGUGUAGGUUUAUAAGUUGUUCUGAUUACGUCCCUGCCCUUUGUACACACCGCCCGUCGCUCCUACCGAUUGGGUGUGCUGGUGAAAUGUUCGGAUCGGCCGUUUGUCGCGGUUUCCGCGUCAUGUGGCUGAGAAGUUCAUUAAACCCUCCCACCUAGAGGAAGGAGAAGUCGUAACA
This 321-nucleotide ribosomal RNA is filed under the name uncultured eukaryote. RNAcentral's name for it is "partial 18S ribosomal RNA". It matches the Rfam family "Eukaryotic small subunit ribosomal RNA", at positions 1470 to 1796 of the family's 1831-position model. The record is from RNAcentral.